CCAUAUUGGCCAGGCUGGUCUUGAACUCCUGACCUUGUGAUCCACCCGCCUUGGCCUCCCAAAGUGCUGGGAUUGCAGGCAUGAGCCACUGCACCUGGCCCGUAGUGUCUUUUUAAGAGCCAAGCACUUUAAUUUUGAUGAAGCCCAGUUUAUCAAUUUUUUUCUUGUGUGAUUUAAUUUUUUAAAUUUCAUUAGUGCAUCUUGAUAUGUUAAUUUUCAUAUUGUUUCAUUUCAUUAUAAUACCUUCGUUAGUUAUAUGGGAUUUUACUGUGUUAAUUUUAACCUUUAAAGUGAAAAGACUAAGACUGUUGAUUCUUGGAAAGCAAAAAUGUAGCUUUAGAUUUUUGUGACAGCUGUUAUUAAUACACAGUUAAGCAGUCAUUAUUUCUUGGGAAGAGUUAGCACUUGUUCCUUAAAAAUAAUUAUAUGCAUAGAAAUAGUGCUUUAGGGCUUAAACACACUUACAUAGUUUAUUUCCUCCAAGGUUGAGUGCGGUAAGGUAUGGGAUGUAGGAUAACAUUAGCUGUGUUUUCCAGAUGAGGAAACCGAGGACUGAACUGGAAUUUGCUUGCUGUUCAGAUUUUUCGAGUUCCUUGUGUGGUUUCUUAUAUCAUACUGUUAAGUGUACUUUGAAAGCUUUGAAAAGCAGUGUUGACCCUUUCUUAAAACAGAUUUCAGGGGAGACAGACAUUUAAAACAGUAGUCUUCUCUCCCUGUCUGGAGUAUGGUUUGGAAGUCAUUGCUUUGUAGUAAGGCAUUGUUCUCCUAGUACGUUGCCAAGGACCAACAGUUGUUAAAUCACCAAGCUAAGAUUUUCUUCUAAAUUUGUAUCGCAUUCUGACUUUGCUUUCUCCCUUCUGUCUCCCAUUAAUGCCCAGUAAAACCACCCUGGACCUCAUGUACCUAAAGCCUUUCCUGAAAUGUGUCUCUCUUUUCAUACCAGCUCCAAUGGGAGCUCCUAUUGGAUUUGUUUCUGGGCCCUGACAGAUUAGCAGGGAAAGAAAGUGCUGUCGAAAAGUGAGAGGGGAGUUCAGAGGUUAGAGGGGAAUCAGAAAAUUAAUGUUGUGAUUGUCAAGAAUGUUUCCAGAAGGCAGGGUUCAUCAGUCCUUGACAAAAAGGCUGAUGAAGAAAAUGGGGUUGAGUGCAGUGGCUCACCCCUGUAAUCCUAGCAUUUUGGGAAACUCAGGUUGGAGGAUCACUUAACUGCGGGAUUUUGAGGUUGCAGUGAGUUUUGAUCAUGACACUGCACUCCGGCGUGGGUGACAGAGCUAGACUCUAGCUU
Molecule: long non-coding RNA, 1282 nt
Organism: Sapajus apella (tufted capuchin)
Lineage: Eukaryota; Metazoa; Chordata; Mammalia; Primates; Cebidae
Exons: 2
Source: RefSeq, a predicted model, not a curated record